RNAcentral lists this ribosomal RNA (253 nucleotides) under uncultured bacterium. RNAcentral describes it as "partial 16S ribosomal RNA". It matches the Rfam family "Bacterial small subunit ribosomal RNA", at positions 524 to 776 of the family's 1533-position model. The record is from RNAcentral.
UACGGGGGGUGCUAGCGUUAUUCGGAAUCAUUGGGCGUAAAGGGCGCGUAGGCGGUCACUAAAGUCAGAUGUGAAAGCCCUCGGCUUAACCGAGGAAGUGCAUUUGAUACUGAGUGACUUGAGUAUGGGAGAGGGAAGCGGAAUUCCUGGUGUAGCGGUGAAAUGCGUAGAUAUCAGGAGGAACACCGGUGGCGAAGGCGGCUUCCUGGACCAAUACUGACGCUGAGGCGCGAAGGCGUGGGGAGCAAACAGG